GAGUUGUAUGAAAGGAGAGAAGGUUAGCACUCUCCUUGAGAAGGAUGGAAGAGGUCCUAGUGGCCUUUACAACACAAUAUAUGGUUAAGGCAUUGCCAUCUACUUUGUGGCAACUAAUUCACCCCCACCCUUCU
Molecule: small nuclear RNA, 134 nt
Organism: Ornithorhynchus anatinus (platypus)
Lineage: Eukaryota; Metazoa; Chordata; Mammalia; Monotremata; Ornithorhynchidae
Source: RefSeq, a predicted model, not a curated record